RNAcentral lists this long non-coding RNA (342 nucleotides) under Crocodylus porosus (Australian saltwater crocodile). RNAcentral's name for it is "lncRNA (ENSCPRG00005017425.1)". The record is from RNAcentral. Lineage: Eukaryota; Metazoa; Chordata; Crocodylia; Crocodylidae.
AUGACAGUAAUUACAGUUUCUUUCAACUUGUCUCUGGUUCUCUUUUUUCAUUUGGCUCUCUCAGUUGAUAAGAUGCAGGGUGCGGGGGAGAAAAAAAAAGGAAACAUGACUUUCAAUACAACACAGUUCUAUACUCAGGAAAACCAAAUGCUGAUCCCAGUGAAGUCAAAGGCAAAGGAUCAGGAUUUAAUUCAAUUUAUCCAGCAAAACGUCUAUGCACCAGGCCUUUUGUGUUGGGGAUCUUACUCUACUGUCAGGAUCCCUGGAUUUCCACCCAUUCCAGAGUCAACCCUAUCCUUAAGGUCCCAGCAGAAUGCAACCCUGACAUUGGUGGGAGACUGA